RNAcentral lists this ribosomal RNA (499 nucleotides) under uncultured bacterium. RNAcentral describes it as "partial 16S ribosomal RNA". It matches the Rfam family "Bacterial small subunit ribosomal RNA", at positions 28 to 507 of the family's 1533-position model. The record is from RNAcentral.
GAUGAACGCUGGCGGCGUGCCUAAUACAUGCAAGUCGAGCGAACAGACGAGAGUGCUUGCACUCUCUGACGUUAGCGGCGGACGGGUGAGUAACACGUGGGUAACCUACCUAUAAGACUGGGAUAACUUCGGGAAACCGGAGCUAAUACCGGAUAAUAUUUAGCUUCGCAUGAAGCAAUAGUGAAAGACGGUUCUGCUGUCACUUAUAGAUGGACCCGCGGUGUAUUAGCUAGUUGGUGAGGUAACGGCUCACCAAGGCAACGAUACAUAGCCGACCUGAGAGGGUGAUCGGCCACACUGGGACUGAGACACGGCCCAGACUCCUACGGGAGGCAGCAGUAGGGAAUCUUCCGCAAUGGACGAAAGUCUGACGGAGCAAUGCCGCGUGAGUGAAGAAGGUUUUCGGAUCGUAAAACUCUGUUGUAAGGGAAGAGCAAGUACGUUAGUAACUGAACGUACCUUGACGGUACCUUACCAGAAAGCCACGGCUAACUACGUG